RNAcentral lists this unclassified non-coding RNA (352 nucleotides) under soil metagenome. RNAcentral's name for it is "partial contains 5.8S ribosomal RNA, internal transcribed spacer 2, and large subunit ribosomal RNA". The stretch from base 1 to 120 matches the Rfam family "5.8S ribosomal RNA", at positions 35 to 154 of the family's 154-position model. The record is from RNAcentral.
GAUGAAGAACGCAGCGAAAUGCGAUAAGUAAUGUGAAUUGCAGAAUUCAGUGAAUCAUCGAAUCUUUGAACGCACAUUGCGCCCGCCAGUAUUCUGGCGGGCAUGCCUGUUCGAGCGUCAUUACAACCCUCAGGCCCCCGGGCCUGGCGUUGGGGAUCGGCGGAGCCCCCCGUGGGCACACGCCGUCCCCCAAAUGCAGUGGCGGUCCCGCCGCAGCUUCCCUCGCGUAGUAGCUAACACCUCGCGACUGGAGAGCGGCGCGGCCACGCCGUAAAACACCCAACUCUUCUGAAGUUGACCUCGAAUCAGGUAGGAAUACCCGCUGAACUUAAGCAUAUCAAUAAGCGGAGGA